CUUAACACAUGCAAGUCGAGCGGAGUGGUUGUGCUUGCACAAUCACUUAGCGGCGGACGGGUGAGUAAUGCUUAGGAAUCUGCCUAUUAGUGGGGGACAACAUUCCGAAAGGAAUGCUAAUACCGCAUACGCCCUACGGGGGAAAGCAGGGGAUCUUCGGACCUUGCGCUAAUAGAUGAGCCUAAGUCGGAUUAGCUAGUUGGUGGGGUAAAGGCCUACCAAGGCGACGAUCUGUAGCGGGUCUGAGAGGAUGAUCCGCCACACUGGGACUGAGACACGGCCCAGACUCCUACGGGAGGCAGCAGUGGGGAAUAUUGGACAAUGGGGGGAACCCUGAUCCAGCCAUGCCGCGUGUGUGAAGAAGGCCUUUUGGUUGUAAAGCACUUUAAGCGAGGAGGAGGCUACUAGUACUAAUACUACUGGAUAGUGGACGUUACUCGCAGAAUAAGCACCGGCUAACUCUGUGCCAGCAGCCGCGGUAAUACAGAGGGUGCGAGCGUUAAUCGGAUUUACUGGGCGUAAAGCGUGCGUAGGCGGCUGAUUAAGUCGGAUGUGAAAUCCCUGAGCUUAACUUAGGAAUUGCAUUCGAUACUGGUCAGCUAGAGUAUGGGAGAGGAUGGUAGAAUUCCAGGUGUAGCGGUGAAAUGCGUAGAGAUCUGGAGGAAUACCGAUGGCGAAGGCAGCCAUCUGGCCUAAUACUGACGCUGAGGUACGAAAGCAUGGGGAGCAAACAGGAUUAGAUACCCUGGUAGUCCAUGCCGUAAACGAUGUCUACUAGCCGUUGGGGCCUUUGAGGCUUUAGUGGCGCAGCUAACGCGAUAAGUAGACCGCCUGGGGAGUACGGUCGCAAGACUAAAACUCAAAUGAAUUGACGGGGGCCCGCACAAGCGGUGGAGCAUGUGGUUUAAUU
Molecule: ribosomal RNA, 910 nt
Filed under: Acinetobacter sp. 18LI(-)_OTU38
Lineage: Bacteria; Pseudomonadati; Pseudomonadota; Gammaproteobacteria; Moraxellales; Moraxellaceae
Description: bacterial SSU rRNA
Rfam family: Bacterial small subunit ribosomal RNA
Source: RNAcentral